RNAcentral lists this transfer RNA (66 nucleotides) under Glycera fallax. RNAcentral's name for it is "tRNA-Met". It matches the Rfam family "tRNA". From Rfam's summary of the family: Transfer RNA (tRNA) molecules are approximately 80 nucleotides in length. Their secondary structure includes four short double-helical elements and three loops (D, anti-codon, and T loops). Further hydrogen bonds mediate the characteristic L-shaped molecular structure. tRNAs have two regions of fundamental functional importance: the anti-codon, which is responsible for specific mRNA codon recognition, and the 3' end, to which the tRNAs corresponding amino acid is attached (by aminoacyl-tRNA synthetases). tRNAs cope with the degeneracy of the genetic code in two manners: having more than one tRNA (with a specific anti-codon) for a particular amino acid; and 'wobble' base-pairing, i.e. permitting non-standard base-pairing at the 3rd anti-codon position. Lineage: Eukaryota; Metazoa; Annelida; Polychaeta; Phyllodocida; Glyceridae. The record is from RNAcentral.
AAUUGGAUAAGCUAAGUUUAAGCCGUUGGGCUCAUAACCCAAAAAUGAGUAUUCCCUCUCCAAUUA